GAUGAACGCUGGCGGCGUGCUUAACACAUGCAAGUCGAACGGAAAGGCUCCUGCUUGCAGGGGUACUCGAGUGGCGAACGGGUGAGUAACACGUGGGUGAUCUGCCCAGCACUUCGGGAUAAGCCUGGGAAACUGGGUCUAAUACCGGAUAGGACGAUGGUUUGGAUGCCAUUGUGGAAAGUUUUUUCGGUGUGGGAUGAGCUCGCGGCCUAUCAGCUUGUUGGUGGGGUAAUGGCCUACCAAGGCGUCGACGGGUAGCCGGCCUGAGAGGGUGUACGGCCACAUUGGGCCUGCGAUACGGACCAGAAUCCUACGGGAGGCAGCAGUGGGGAAUAUUGCACAAUGGGCGCAAGCCUGAUGCAGCGACGCCGCGUGGGGGAUGACGGCCUUCGGGUUGUAAACUCCUUUCGCUAGGGACGAAGCGCAAGUGACGGUACCUGGAGAAGAAGCACCGGCUAACUACGUG
This 466-nucleotide ribosomal RNA is filed under the name uncultured bacterium. RNAcentral's name for it is "partial 16S ribosomal RNA". It matches the Rfam family "Bacterial small subunit ribosomal RNA", at positions 28 to 507 of the family's 1533-position model. The record is from RNAcentral.